CGGGAUGCUUAGUACGGCGAGUGAAGCGGCAAAAGCUCAAAUUUGAAAUCUGGUACCUUCGGUGCCCGAGUUGUAAUUUGGAGAGGGCAACUUUGGGGCCGUUCCUUGUCUAUGUUCCUUGGAACAGGACGUCAUAGAGGGUGAGAAUCCCGUGUGGCGAGGAGUGCGGUUCUUUGUAAAGUGCCUUCGAAGAGUCGAGUUGUUUGGGAAUGCAGCUCUAAGUGGGUGGUAAAUUCCAUCUAAAGCUAAAUAUUGGCGAGAGACCGAUAGCGAACAAGUACAGUGAUGGAAAGAUGAAAAGAACUUUGAAAAGAGAGUGAAAAAGUACGUGAAAUUGUUGAAAGGGAAGGGCAUUUGAUCAGACAUGGUGUUUUGUGCCCUCUGCUCCUUGUGGGUAGGGGAAUCUCGCAUUUCACUGGGCCAGCAUCAGUUUUGGUGGCAGGAUAAAUCCAUAGGAAUGUAGCUUGCCUCGGUAAGUAUUAUAGCCUGUGGGAAUACUGCCAGCUGGGACUGAGGACUGCGACGUAAGUCAAGGAUGCUGGCAUAAUGGUUAUAUGCCGCCCGUCUUGAAC
RNAcentral lists this ribosomal RNA (572 nucleotides) under Saccharomyces cerevisiae (brewer's yeast). RNAcentral's name for it is "partial large subunit ribosomal RNA". It matches the Rfam family "Eukaryotic large subunit ribosomal RNA", at positions 70 to 659 of the family's 3401-position model. The record is from RNAcentral. Lineage: Eukaryota; Fungi; Ascomycota; Saccharomycetes; Saccharomycetales; Saccharomycetaceae.